This 87-nucleotide non-coding RNA is filed under the name Pseudomonas psychrophila. The record is from RNAcentral. Lineage: Bacteria; Pseudomonadati; Pseudomonadota; Gammaproteobacteria; Pseudomonadales; Pseudomonadaceae.
UGUGGGAGCGGGCUUGCUCGCGAUAGCAUCAAACCGGUCUGCCUGCCUUGCCGAGUUGAUGCUAUCGCGAGCAAGCCCGCUCCCACA